Molecule: long non-coding RNA, 245 nt
Organism: Etheostoma spectabile (orangethroat darter)
Lineage: Eukaryota; Metazoa; Chordata; Actinopteri; Perciformes; Percidae
Exons: 3
Source: RefSeq, a predicted model, not a curated record
UUUUACUUUAUUCAUGGGGUUCAAAAACCGGGAAUACACUAUACUUGUGGGAUCUGGACAGUUUUGUGGGGCCAAAAUGCUGGACCCUGCAAAUCUUAAGGUCUAUUUGAGGGUUAAGACUUGGUUUUAGGAUUAGGGUUAGAAUUAGGUUAUGGUUAUUGUGAGGGUAAGGGUUUCUGUCAGUCAUUUAGUUGUGAUGGUUAAGGUUAAGGUAAGGGGUAGGGAAUGCAUUGAAGGGUCCCCAC